This is a long non-coding RNA of Phacochoerus africanus (Common warthog), 1068 nucleotides long. RefSeq lists it as uncharacterized. NCBI's taxonomy places the organism in Eukaryota, Metazoa, Chordata, Mammalia, Artiodactyla, Suidae. The transcript is spliced from 3 exons. The record is from RefSeq and is a predicted model, not a curated record.
GGCUGCCUUCCCGGGAACGCGGCGACGUCGGGGCUGAGCGAGGCUCGGAGGGAGGGACGGCGCGGUGGGCGUUCUGGGCCGUGGGGUCCGGGGCUGAGGGAGGAGGCGGUCGUCCGCGCUGGCGUGUUGAGCCGGGUCGGGAGGCCUGACACCCUGGAAGUUCCGGACGGAGACUCGAGAAAGGGGGCCCGCCGCCCGAGGUCCCCACAGAUCCCUCCGACCAGUGCUUGGGUUGCGGGUUAAACUGCAUCGGAAGUCGGUGCUUUCAAACCCCACUGCCCUGUUAUUAAACUCCGUGUGCUUCUUGGAGAUCGUCCCCAAUGCCGUAGCUGUGGCGUGACUUGUCCAGCACGUCCCCUGUUGGUAGACCGUUUGUUACCAGUUUUUUGGAGACAAGCUGCCUUUUUUUGCAAGUGGUCCCUCUGGAAGUUUCCUCUGACCGUUGAAGUUCAGCCGCCAAAGCAAUGGAGGGAGAACCUUCCCCAGCACAGCGUACAGGGGUUCGUCUGACUUGGGAAAACUGCAGUCUCACCUUUGUUGACAGUUGUGUUUCUGACGGUUGGUAUUUUAACUUUUUCUUGGAAUCACUUUUCACUUUGAUGCAAAGCCACUGAAACCUCCUUUGAAGGGGUGAUGCGGAUUGAUGGGUCUGGACGGCAGCGGCAGUGCGAGCUGUGAUUUCUGUCCCACCGUGGCGGGGAUGGAACACACCGCUCCCGUUCAUUACGCAUCUGUUUUGUGCCAGCCGCUUCGCCAAUGUCACCCUGGUAACUUGUUUUGUUUAUGAUUUAGGUAUUGGCUAUAGAGUGAGUGUGUCACCAUCAGAUCGCAUGUUGAAACCUAGCGCCUGAUGGGAAUCACGUAGGCAUAAAUGCCGGACUCUGCCCACGUGGGCAAAGAGGCCUCUUUUUGGGGGGGAGUGAACAAACCCCCUAAAAGAGGCCUGGACGAAGACACCCCCCCCCCCCGCCCCGGCCGACCUUGUCAGCCUACGUACAUGUGUAAGAUGAAGUCGUUAGAGGGUUUGGGGGUGCGUAGCUGUGAAAUAAAUACGUUUCUUCUAUCUUC